AGGUUAAGUUAACAAGGGCGCAUGGUGAAUGCCUUGGCACUAGGAGCCGAUGAAGGACGGGACUAACACUGAUAUGCUUCGGGGAGCUGUACGUAAGCUAUGAUCCGGAGAUUUCCGAAUGGGGCAACCCAGCAGUUUUAAUCAACUGUUACCACUAGAUGAAUUCAUAGUCUAGUUGGAGGUAAACGCUGUGAACUGAAACAUCUCAUUAGCAGCAGGAAUAUAAAGAAAUUUCGAUUCCCUAAGUAGCGGCGAGCGAACGGGGAACAGCCCAAACCAAAGUGCUUGCACUUUGGGGUUGUAGGACUGAACAUUUGAGUUACCAAAGAACUUGAUAGUCGAAGGAUUUGGGAAAAUCCGCCAUAGAUGGUGAUAGCCCAGUAGAUUAAAUCAAAUUCUCUCAGUUCAGGAUCCUGAGUACGGCGGAACACGUGAAAUUCCGUCGGAAUCCGGGAGGACCAUCUCCCAAGGCUAAAUACUACCUAGUGACCGAUAGUGAACCAGUACCGUGAGGGAAAGGUGAAAAGCACCCCGGGAGGGGAGUGAAAUAGUUCCUGAAACCAUGUGCCUACAAUAAGUCAGAGCGCGUUAAUGCGUGAUGGCGUGCCUUUUGUAGAAUGAACCGGCGAGUUAUGAUCCCGUGCAAGGUUAAGACUAAAAAGUCGGAGCCGUAGCGAAAGCGAGUCUGAAAUGGGCGUUUUGAGUACGAGGUUAUAGACCCGAAACCAGGUGACCUAUCCAUGUCCAGGUUGAAGGUGCGGUAAAACGCACUGGAGGACCGAACCCGUGUAAGUUGAAAAUUGCUGGGAUGAGGUGUGGAUAGCGGUGAAAUUCCAAACGAACUUGGAGAUAGCUGGUUCUCUCCGAAAUAGCUUUAGGGCUAGCCUCGGAAUUAGGAUCAUGGAGGUAGAGCACUAUUUGGACUAGGGGCCCGUCUUGGGUUACUGAAUUCAGAUAAACUCCGAAUGCCAUUGAUUCAUAUCCGGGAGUCAGACGAUGAGUGAUAAGAUCCACCGUCGAAAGGGGAACAGCCCAGACCAUCAGUUAAGGUCCCUAAAUGUAUGCUAAGUGGAAAAGGAUGUGGAGUUGCAUAGACAACUAGGAUGUUGGCUCAGAAGCAGCCACCAUUUAAAGAGUGCGUAAUAGCUCACUAGUCGAGUGAUCCUGCGCCGAAAAUGUACCGGGGCUAAGCAUACUACCGAAACCAUGGAUGCGACCAUUAGGUCGCGUGAUAGGAGAGCGUUCUAAGGGCGGUGAAGCAAGAUCGUGAGGACUUGUGGAGCGCUUAGAAGUGAGAAUGCCGGUAUGAGUAGCGAAAGAUAGGUGAGAAUCCUAUCCACCGAAUGACUAAGGUUUCCUGGGGAAGGCUCGUCCUCCCAGGGUUAGUCGGGACCUAAGUCGAGGCCGAGAGGCGUAGACGAUGGAUAACAGGUUGAGAUUCCUGUACUAGUUAAGUGCGUUUGAGCAAUGGAGGGACGCAGGAGGCUAAGAUGUGCAUUCUGUUGGAUUAGAAUGUCCAAGCAGUAAGUCUUGUGAAGAGUCAAAUGCUUUUCACUUUAAGGACAAGCUGUGAUGGGGAGCGAAAUUUAGUAGCGAAGCGUCUGAUGUCACACUGCCGAGAAAAGCUUCUAGUGAGUACUUAACUACCCGUACCGCAAACCGACACAGGUAGUCGAGGAGAGAAUCCUAAGGUGAGCGAGUGAACUCUCGUUAAGGAACUCGGCAAAAUGACCCCGUAACUUCGGGAGAAGGGGUGCUGAUCGCAAGAUCAGCCGCAGUGAAUAGGCCCAGGCGACUGUUUAUCAAAAACACAGGUCUCUGCAAAAUCGUAAGAUGACGUAUAGGGGCUGACGCCUGCCCGGUGCUGGAAGGUUAAAAGGAUGGGUUAGCUUCGGCGAAGCUCAGAAUUGAAGCCCCAGUAAACGGCGGCCGUAACUAUAACGGUCCUAAGGUAGCGAAAUUCCUUGUCGGGUAAGUUCCGACCCGCACGAAAGGCGUAACGAUCUGGGCACUGUCUCAACGAGAGACUCGGUGAAAUUAUAUUGUCCGUGAAGAUGCGGACUACCCGCGACAGGACGGAAAGACCCCAUGGAGCUUUACUGUAGCUUGAUAUUGAGUGUUUGUACAGCUUGUACAGGAUAGGUAGGAGCCAUAGAAACCGGAACGCUAGUUUCGGUGGAGGCGUUGGUGGGAUACUACCCUCGCUGUAUGACCACUCUAACCCGCACCACUAAUCGUGGUGGGAGACAGUGUCAGGUGGGCAGUUUGACUGGGGCGGUCGCCUCCUAAAAAGUAACGGAGGCGCCCAAAGGUUCCCUCAGAAUGGUUGGAAAUCAUUCGCAGAGUGUAAAGGCACAAGGGAGCUUGACUGCGAGACAGACAGGUCGAGCAGGGACGAAAGUCGGGCUUAGUGAUCCGGUGGUACCGUAUGGAAGGGCCAUCGCUCAACGGAUAAAAGCUACCCUGGGGAUAACAGGCUUAUCUCCCCCAAGAGUCCACAUCGACGGGGAGGUUUGGCACCUCGAUGUCGGCUCAUCGCAUCCUGGGGCUGUAGUCGGUCCCAAGGGUUGGGCUGUUCGCCCAUUAAAGCGGUACGCGAGCUGGGUUCAGAACGUCGUGAGACAGUUCGGUCCCUAUCCGUCGCGGGCGUAGGAAAUUUGAGAGGACCUGUCCUUAGUACGAGAGGACCGGGAUGGACAUACCUCUGGUGUACCAGUUGUGCCGCCAGGCGCAUCGCUGGGUAGCUACGUAUGGAUGUGAUAAACGCUGAAAGCAUCUAAGUGUGAAACACACCUCGAGAUGAGAUUUCCCAUUCCUUUAUGGAAGUAAGACCCCUGAAAGAUGAUCAGGUAGAUAGGUUAGAAGUGGCAGUGCGGUGACGCAUGAAGCGGACUAAUACUAAUCGGUCGAGGACUUAACCAAG
RNAcentral lists this ribosomal RNA (2923 nucleotides) under Lactiplantibacillus plantarum. Its description in RNAcentral is "bacterial LSU rRNA". It matches the Rfam family "Bacterial large subunit ribosomal RNA". Lineage: Bacteria; Bacillati; Bacillota; Bacilli; Lactobacillales; Lactobacillaceae. The record is from RNAcentral.